Molecule: long non-coding RNA, 237 nt
Organism: Symphalangus syndactylus (siamang)
Lineage: Eukaryota; Metazoa; Chordata; Mammalia; Primates; Hylobatidae
Source: RefSeq, a predicted model, not a curated record
UCCCCUAAGUGAUGUGCCUCUUCUCUUCUGCCUGGGCCCUGCCAAAAAAGGGGAUUGUAACAAAUCACUGGAACAAGAACCCAGGUCAGAGGGGAUUACCACUCUCUCAUAUAUGGUAUAAAGCCAUUGAAUUGUACACAAUAUGUCACCACAGAGCCCAGUCUACAGGUGAGAAUUUCACAUAUAACUGCACCCAGCACACAGGUGAAAUUGUGACUCUUGUAUGCUCAUCCAGCC